CUGAGUUUUUAACUCCAAACCAUUGUGAACUUACCACUGUUGCCUCGGCGCAGACGCUCUACCGGCAGUGAUGCCGGCUGGGUGAAGGCGCCGGUGGACUACUAAACUAUUGUUAAUUUUGUCAAAUCUGAAUAAAAAACUUAAUAAGUUA
This 151-nucleotide unclassified non-coding RNA is filed under the name uncultured fungus. RNAcentral describes it as "sequence contains ITS1, 5.8S rRNA gene". The record is from RNAcentral. RNAcentral also lists the same sequence under 1 other name. Lineage: Eukaryota; Fungi.